RNAcentral lists this ribosomal RNA (454 nucleotides) under uncultured bacterium. RNAcentral describes it as "partial 16S ribosomal RNA". It matches the Rfam family "Bacterial small subunit ribosomal RNA", at positions 28 to 507 of the family's 1533-position model. The record is from RNAcentral.
GAUGAACGCUGACAGAAUGCUUAACACAUGCAAGUCAACUUGAACUUCGGUUUGGGUGGCGGACGGGUGAGUAACGCGUACAGAACUUGCCUCACAGCUAGGGACAACAUUUGGAAACGAAUGCUAAUACCUGAUAUUAUGAUUAUAUGGCAUCGUAUAAUUAUGAAAGCUAUAUGCGCUGUGAGAGAGCUUUGCGUCCCAUUAGCUAGUUGGAGAGGUAACAGCUCACCAAGGCGAUGAUGGGUAGCCGGCCUGAGAGGGUGAUCGGCAACAAGGGGACUGAGACACGGCCCGUACUCCUACGGGAGGCAGCAGUGGGGAAUAUUGGACAAUGGACCGAGAGUGUGAUCCAGCAAUUCUGUGUGCACGAUGAAGUUUUUCGGAAUGUAAAGUGCUUGCAGUUGGGAAGAAAAAAAUGACGGUACCAACAGAAGAAGUGACGGCUAAAUACGUG